This 1521-nucleotide ribosomal RNA is filed under the name metagenome. RNAcentral describes it as "bacterial SSU rRNA". It matches the Rfam family "Bacterial small subunit ribosomal RNA". The record is from RNAcentral.
GAGUUUGAUCAUGGCUCAGAUUGAACGCUGGCGGCAGGCCUAACACAUGCAAGUCGAACGGUAACAGGAAACAGCUUGCUGUUUCGCUGACGAGUGGCGGACGGGUGAGUAAUGUCUGGGAAACUGCCUGAUGGAGGGGGAUAACUACUGGAAACGGUAGCUAAUACCGCAUAACGUCGCAAGACCAAAGAGGGGGACCUUCGGGCCUCUUGCCAUCAGAUGUGCCCAGAUGGGAUUGGCUAGUAGGUGGGGUAACGGCUCACCUAGGCGACGAUCCCUAGCUGGUCUGAGAGGAUGACCAGCCACACUGGAACUGAGACACGGUCCAGACUCCUACGGGAGGCAGCAGUGGGGAAUAUUGCACAAUGGGCGCAAGCCUGAUGCAGCCAUGCCGCGUGUAUGAAGAAGGCCUUCGGGUUGUAAAGUACUUUCAGCGGGGAGGAAGGGAGUAAAGUUAAUACCUUUGCUCAUUGACGUUACCCGCAGAAGAAGCACCGGCUAACUCCGUGCCAGCAGCCGCGGUAAUACGGAGGGUGCAAGCGUUAAUCGGAAUUACUGGGCGUAAAGCGCACGCAGGCGGUUUGUUAAGUCAGAUGUGAAAUCCCCGGGCUCAACCUGGGAACUGCAUCUGAUACUGGCAAGCUUGAGUCUCGUAGAGGGGGGUAGAAUUCCAGGUGUAGCGGUGAAAUGCGUAGAGAUCUGGAGGAAUACCGGUGGCGAAGGCGGCCCCCUGGACGAAGACUGACGCUCAGGUGCGAAAGCGUGGGGAGCAAACAGGAUUAGAUACCCUGGUAGUCCACGCCGUAAACGAUGUCGACUUGGAGGUUGUGCCCUUGAGGCGUGGCUUCCGGAGCUAACGCGUUAAGUCGACCGCCUGGGGAGUACGGCCGCAAGGUUAAAACUCAAAUGAAUUGACGGGGGCCCGCACAAGCGGUGGAGCAUGUGGUUUAAUUCGAUGCAACGCGAAGAACCUUACCUGGUCUUGACAUCCACGGAAGUUUUCAGAGAUGAGAAUGUGCCUUCGGGAACCGUGAGACAGGUGCUGCAUGGCUGUCGUCAGCUCGUGUUGUGAAAUGUUGGGUUAAGUCCCGCAACGAGCGCAACCCUUAUCCUUUGUUGCCAGCGGUCCGGCCGGGAACUCAAAGGAGACUGCCAGUGAUAAACUGGAGGAAGGUGGGGAUGACGUCAAGUCAUCAUGGCCCUUACGACCAGGGCUACACACGUGCUACAAUGGCGCAUACAAAGAGAAGCGACCUCGCGAGAGCAAGCGGACCUCAUAAAGUGCGUCGUAGUCCGGAUUGGAGUCUGCAACUCGACUCCAUGAAGUCGGAAUCGCUAGUAAUCGUGGAUCAGAAUGCCACGGUGAAUACGUUCCCGGGCCUUGUACACACCGCCCGUCACACCAUGGGAGUGGGUUGCAAAAGAAGUAGGUAGCUUAACCUUCGGGAGGGCGCUUACCACUUUGUGAUUCAUGACUGGGGUGAAGUCGUAACAAGGUAACCGUAGGGGAACCUGCGGUUG